This is an RNA transcript of Odobenus rosmarus divergens (Pacific walrus), 655 nucleotides long. It is a transcript of the gene named 39S ribosomal protein L30, mitochondrial-like, with no coding region annotated. The record is from RefSeq and is a predicted model, not a curated record. NCBI's taxonomy places the organism in Eukaryota, Metazoa, Chordata, Mammalia, Carnivora, Odobenidae. The transcript has a single exon.
GGGACAUGGCCGGAACUAAAGUGCGCGGUGUCGCAGUUGGUGCACGCUGUGACUGCUGGGGUUGAAUGUAGCGCUUGGUGACCUUUCCUCUUUUCUUUUUUCAUUCGCCUCAGAAGAGAAGUCACCACACUCAUGGCAGGGAUUUUGUGCUCAAUAGUUCAGAGGCCCACAGGCAGACACCAAACUGUGACAAAAGGUGUGGAGUCUCUUAUUGUACAGAUUGGAUUUGUCACAAAUUUACCAAGUCAAGAAUUCCAGAUAAAGUAUUUCAGCCUUCACCUGCAGAUCAUGAAAAAUAUGGUGGGGAUCCACAGCACCCUCAUAAACUGCAUAUUGUUACCAGAAUAAAAAGUACAAAAAGACGUCCAUAUUGGGAAAAAGAUAUAAUAAAGAUGCUUGGAUUAGAAAAAGCACAUACUCCUCAAGUUCACAAGAAUAUCCCUUCAGUGAAUGCAAAACUGAAAGUGGUUAAACAUUUGAUAAGGAUCAAGCCCCUGAAGUUGCCCCAAGGACUUCCAGCAGAGGAGGACAUGUCUAACACGUGCCUCAAGAGCACUGGGGAAUUAGUGGUGCAGUGGCAUCUAAACCCCAUAGACCAGGAAACAGUUAAGUCCUAAGGCCAGAGCAGUUUCAUGUUAAAAAAUGCAAAUCAUUU